This 117-nucleotide ribosomal RNA is filed under the name Puniceicoccales bacterium. Lineage: Bacteria; Pseudomonadati; Verrucomicrobiota; Opitutia; Puniceicoccales. The record is from RNAcentral.
UCCGGUAAUCAUAGGCGAAGGGAAACACUCGUUCCCAUUUCGAAUACGACCGUUAAGCCUUCAGCCGUCGAUGGUAGUGCUGCCACGCUGUGGUGCGAGAGUAGAUUGUUGCCGGAA